UACGGAGGGUGCGAGCGUUAUUCGGAAUCACUGGGCGUAAAGGGCGCGUAGGCGGCCUGGUAAGUCAGGGGUGAAAUCCCACGGCUCAACCGUGGAAUUGUCUUUGAAACUGCUGGGCUUGGAUCCUGGAGAGGGUGGCGGAAUUCCUGGUGUAGGAGUGAAAUCCGUAGAUAUCAGGAGGAACACCGGUGGCGAAGGCGGCCACCUGGACAGGUAUCAACGCUGAGGCGCGAAAGUGUGGGGAGCAAACAGG
This 253-nucleotide ribosomal RNA is filed under the name uncultured microorganism. Its description in RNAcentral is "partial 16S ribosomal RNA". It matches the Rfam family "Bacterial small subunit ribosomal RNA", at positions 524 to 776 of the family's 1533-position model. The record is from RNAcentral.